CUUUGUGGCACCAUGUGAGAAACAAUCCUGUGAGCAGACAGGACAGGCAGAGAGAGGCAAGGGGGCACUGAACAGCACAGGAAUGUGGACAUAAAGAAGCUGAAGGGCCCUCACAACACCCUGGCAUCAGUCUUAUAGGUAAGAUUAAAGAACAAAGUUAUGCAUUUUUGGGCCAAAGAGAGGACAAAAGGAACUUAGGAGUACCAAAAACCUGAAAUUAACUCUGAAGAACUCACCUUUGACUUCCAAAUGGGUAGACUCAGACACCAGCUCAUCUAGGAUCAUGUCAGCAGCUGUUGACAGUCUCUGGUGCUUCAGAUGAGGAAGACAAAAUCCAUUUUUUAAAUGCAAAGAUGAAAUAGCCACUCCAUUUUCUUAUUUUAAGUGUCUCUCAUUUCCCAUUUGAGCUGCAGCUCCCUGGAAUAAAAGCCAGCCUGGUGAUGGAGGCACAAGGCUCAGAGUCAGCUCUGGAUCCUGGCUCUGCCAGAUACUGGCAGUGUCACCUUCAAGCAUCACAAGCCAGGGGACGUGAGCACAGAACAAGCAGCUCCUCCGCACAUCCCUGAAUGCUCUGACAGCUUUCCAAGGAUUUCCUCUCCGGGUGGAACAGGGAGCACCAAGCAGAGGCACAGCUUCAAACCACCCACCUCCAGGAGCAGACACAUCUGGAAAAGCUGCGCUUUCAUUUUUUUAUGAAGCCUGAUUAUUAAUGUUUUGUAAAAUUCUCGGGGAUUCCUGGUAGGAAAAUUUUACCACCUGGUAGGUAUUAGACUCCUGUAAAUAUUUCCAAGCAGGGCACAGUUGCCAAAUGUUUGGGUUCAACUUUAACCAUUCUAAUGCUGGGCUGGAGGAAAAUUCUUAUAAACAACCAAAUAUUCUUGCUGUACAAAUGUUUUACACCACUUAUUUUUCUCGUUUCUGUCUCAAUAGCCCCACUGCUUCCUCUCCUUUAACUGGUCCUUGUAAUCAUGCAUUUAAACAUUUUUUGUCAAAUCUUCCUUCUCAAAUGCAGAAUUAAAGCACUGAUAUGCUGCAGAUAUGAGUUUCAAAGUCUUCACAUAUUUAACAUAAUUAAAGAAUCUUAGCAGUUUGUUCCAGUAUUGUCAUUUUAGCACUGUAUUGGCUUUUGACUACAUGAAGUGUUACACAGUACCCUAACUGCAGAAGGUCUGAGAUAAAUUACACCACUUGAACUUUUAAUAUAUUUACUCAGGCAGCAGCUUGAAGGAAAGUUCAUAGAAGCAAAUCUAUUAGGCAAAUUAGGGUUGUAACUUUUUGGCAGCUUCAUUUAAAUUAUUAGUCAAAAUUAGUGAAGCAAUUUAGUCCCAUUCAAAAUUAUGCAAGACCAAUAUGCAAAUAGAAGAGAGAGAGCUUUAGAAAUGUAGAACAAUUACUAUUUGAAUACACAGGUAUUUAAAUAAAUGCACCACAGAGAGACCAGCCAAUGACAGCUGGUUAUCCUACAGUGUAGGCUGGCUUUGAUCUCCAUGUUCCAUGAAUUUCUUUCCUUAUUUCAGCAGAACUUUUGACUUUUUCUCUGCCAAAGCAUCUAAAUGGCUGACUUCAGAGCAAACUUUUUCUUUUCCACAUGCUGAUACUUGAAUCAGAAAAUAUUAUUCUGAUUUUGUGUUGUAUUUGUGUAGGACACAAUUCUUCCUUACCUCUGUAUGCUGUGUUAAAAACAGAUUAGUAAAAUUGUUUGAUCAUUCAUGCUGAGUUCCUGGCAACAGCCUGUCAUACUGUAAAGAUAACUUUUCACUGAGUAUCUCUCCCAUAAGUGUUUCAGGAAGACAGGAGAAAAAAAUACAUAGAAUUGUAAUAAUUUCUCCAUGUUUAUGUCCAGUCUACAUGACC
Zonotrichia leucophrys gambelii is the source of this 1854-nucleotide long non-coding RNA. RefSeq lists it as uncharacterized. The record is from RefSeq and is a predicted model, not a curated record. The transcript has 5 exons. Lineage: Eukaryota; Metazoa; Chordata; Aves; Passeriformes; Passerellidae.